UACAGCCAUAUCAAAUUGAAACACCAGUUCCCGUACAAUCACCAAAGUUGAACAACAUCGAACCUGAUCAGUACCUUGAUGCAUGACUGCUUGGGAAUUCCAGGUGCUGUAA
Molecule: non-coding RNA, 112 nt
Organism: Acanthosepion pharaonis
Lineage: Eukaryota; Metazoa; Mollusca; Cephalopoda; Sepiida; Sepiidae
Source: the annotation of a GenBank genome assembly